This 314-nucleotide ribosomal RNA is filed under the name uncultured bacterium. Its description in RNAcentral is "bacterial SSU rRNA". It matches the Rfam family "Bacterial small subunit ribosomal RNA", at positions 1190 to 1510 of the family's 1533-position model. The record is from RNAcentral.
UCAUCAUGCCCUUUAUGUCCUGGGCUACACACGUGCUACAAUGGUUGGUACAGAGGGCAGCUAUAUAGUGAUAUAAUGCAAAACUCUAAAGCCAAUCCCAGUUCGGAUUGUAGGCUGCAACUCGCCUACAUGAAGUCGGAGUUGCUAGUAAUCGCGGAUCAGAAUGUCGCGGUGAAUGCGUUCCCGGGUCUUGUACACACCGCCCGUCACACCAUGGGAGUUGAUAAUACCCGAAGCCUGUGACCUAAACGAGGAGCAGUCGAAGGUAGGAUUGAUGACUGGGGUGAAGUCGUAACAAGGUAGCCGUAUCGGAA